Molecule: ribosomal RNA, 253 nt
Filed under: uncultured bacterium
Lineage: Bacteria
Description: partial 16S ribosomal RNA
Rfam family: Bacterial small subunit ribosomal RNA
Source: RNAcentral
UACAGAGGGUGCGAGCGUUAAUCGGAAUUACUGGGCGUAAAGCGUGCGUAGACGGUUAUUUAAGUCGGGUGUGAAAGCCCCGGGCUCAACCUGGGAAUUGCAUUUGAGACUGCAUAGCUAGGGUGCGGAAGAGGGAAGCGGAAUUUCCGGUGUAGCGGUGAAAUGCGUAGAUAUCGGAAGGAACAUCAGUGGCGAAAGCGGCUUCCUGGUCCAGCACCGACGUUCAGGCACGAAAGCGUGGGGAGCAAACAGG